GAAUUUUGGACAAUGGGGGCAACCCUGAUUCAGCCAUCCCGCGUGUGGGAUGAAGGCCUUCGGGUUGUAAAGCACUUUUGGCAGGGAAGAAAAGGCUCUGGCUAAUCCCUGGGGCUGCUGACGGUACCUGCAGAAUAAGCACCGGCUAACUACGUCCCAGCCGCCGCGGUAAGACGUAGGGUGCAAGCGUUAAUCGGGCUUACUGGGGGUAAAGCGGGCGCAGGCGGUUUGGCAAGAAGGAUGUGAAAUCCCAGGGCUUAACCUUGGAACUGCAUUCUUAACUGCCAGGCUAGAGUAUGUCAGAGGGGGGUAGAAUUCCACGUGUAGCAGUGAAAUGCGUAGAGAUGUGGAGGAAUACCGAUGGCGAAGGCAGCCCCCUGGGAUAAUACUGACGCUCAUGCACGAAAGCGUGGGGAGCAAACA
Molecule: ribosomal RNA, 423 nt
Filed under: uncultured bacterium
Lineage: Bacteria
Description: partial 16S ribosomal RNA
Rfam family: Bacterial small subunit ribosomal RNA
Source: RNAcentral